This 62-nucleotide transfer RNA is filed under the name Eurythenes magellanicus. Its description in RNAcentral is "tRNA-Leu". The record is from RNAcentral. Lineage: Eukaryota; Metazoa; Arthropoda; Malacostraca; Amphipoda; Lysianassidae.
GUUGCUUUGGCGGAAUAGCGCUUUUGGUUUAGGACCUUAGAAAGAUUGUUAGUCAAGUAAUA